Molecule: long non-coding RNA, 234 nt
Organism: Drosophila innubila
Lineage: Eukaryota; Metazoa; Arthropoda; Insecta; Diptera; Drosophilidae
Exons: 3
Source: RefSeq, a predicted model, not a curated record
GAUUCCCCCGAUAUUAAGCAUGACUGUAAACAAAAUUUGAAAUAUUGUAGAUGCAGGUCAAUAUUAAUCCUUAGGGCGGAAAGACUUGUCGAAAGAAUAUUGCAGUUCCAAACUUGGCACUUUACUCAAGAAAAUGCACAAUCGCUUGCUUCAGCUAAAGCAAACACAUGAGGAUCUAAUGACCCCAUCUUGGCCAAAUGAUAUUUGUGAACAUGAUCCUAUACAAAAUAUGAG